CAUCUUGACCUGAAGAUUUCUUUUUUGGAAGCUUUAAUUACAAAUUUAUUUUUUUAAUGGUUAUAAGACUAUUCAUAUUAUCUAUUUUAUGUUUGUUUUUGGUAGGUUUUCAAGGAAUUGAUCCAUUCUUUUAAGUUAUUAAAUGUAAGAGCUGAAUUUAUGAGGAAUCAUUGAAAGUUUUGAUAUUAGUAUAUCUCUAAAAUAGGCAUAUGUCAUGCAAUUAAUUACAUAAGUAUAGGUAACAAAGACACAAUUAAUUACAUAAGUAUAAGUAACAAAGACACAAAUAGUCAUGCUGAGUAAGAGCUAGAAUGUAUGGAAAUACUACAGACCAUUAAUCUGUGGUAGAGUGGCAGUUUCUGAAGUGUAUAGCAUUUCUGGUCUUUUCCCUUUUUUUUGUAAUUUGAUACAUAAAAAUAUAAUACUAAGUAUAUUGCAGAUUUUAAUAAGGGUGUGUUAAAGUGAGAUUUAUUUAAAUUAACUUUUUUUUCCACAUCCAGGAAUUGAGCCUAUAGUAGAGCUUCCUCCCUCACCUUAUUCAGGUCUCUGCUCAGUUGUCACCAAUUCAGAGAUUCCUUCCCCACUUCCCCAUUUGAAAUGGGACUCCUAUUUACUUGUUUACUGAAUGUCUCCCUCACUAGAAGGUAAGCUCUGUCAGGAGAAGGACUUUAUUUUGUUCCCCUGCUGUGUCCUACAGUGUCUAGUACCUAGAAAGUCUUAACUAUGUGGUUGUUAAAUAAAUGCAUCUUUUUCAGGUUCACACAACUGGUGUUGCCUUUGGUCCUAUUUAUUGGGGUGGCUUCGGGUUAUCCUGUACACUUCUCAUUCCUCCUAUCAAGGUGUAAAAUUCAAAUCUUAAAUUUGGAAAGAAGCUCCUUUGAGGUUGUCUAGUCCAGUCCCCUCCCAGUGCAGCAAUCCUGCUGCUGUGUAGUCUCUGUAUUUUGUGGGAGUGUUCUGAGUGACAAGGCUUAUUACUCAUUACUUAGGACUUAGUGCUCCCCUAACGUGAGCCAGUCAGUUGUUUUCACCCCACUGCUCUGUGACCUCCUUGUCAUACCAUAAUUCAGUUUUGAAUCCUACAAAUCCAUAGUUUAGUAGAGCAUAUGCUCUGUAAGUGUUUUUCUUGAAAAUUCUGUUUUACCACUCGUGAGAGGCCGUGUUGUGCUUCCUCUUCUCAGGUGGUCAGGCUGCACAGCACACUGACUUCUUAUUCCGCCUCUCAGGCCACCCAGAGUCUGAGGCUGGAAGUGAGCACACGAGAAUCUUUCAGUAUCACAAUGAUCCAAUUCCCCUCAAAGGGCCUCAGCCAGGCAAGCUUUCUGCCAGGCAGCUCUGGGUCUCAUCCUCAAGGAGAAAGCUGGGACCGAUGCUUUCAAAAUUCAGACAUGACACAAGGUAAAGAAUGCUUUUAUGUUUCCUGGUCAUCAAGUUUUAUCAAGUUGAUUAUCAAGGUUUUUUUGAAACCUGAUUGAAACCUGCUUCUUUGACUUCAUUUUCUGCUGUCGUGUUUUAUUACCAAGUAGAGCUUUCUACACAUCGUGGGCACACACAUAAAGGCUGAAAUAUUUCCCUAACAUUGUAGAAAUGGGUCUCUCUCACCCAUACACCAGGUCUCCCUGCACCCUGUGCUGAUGCCUUCCAAUUUAUUCAGCUCGUUCCUCCUCCUGGUCCACCUCGCUGUAGCCUCUGUACCUGCUGCAACGUUCUUGGACACUGGGACUAGAGACAGAGCUCUGCUGCAGGGGCUCUGGCUGGCUGGCUCCUGGUUUCUCCUUCUAAACCACACCCUGGAGACUCAGAUGCCCUUGAGUUCCCCAUGACUUAAUGUUGAGUUAUUUCCUCUCUAUCAUUCCAUGAUUGAAUGUUUAUCUGCGUGAACACCUCAGCACCUCAUAGUAUCAUAGAUCUGAGCAUAGGCAGGACUACAGCCGGGACUCAUCUUGGCUGCCACAUGUGUGUAUUGCCCCUCUCUCACCCCUUAGCAUCUCCACUAAAUUACUGCCAGCUCUUUCUAAGACCUCAGGAGGCUGGAAAGCCAUUACCUCAUGAAGUACUUUUUUAUUCAGCUCUCCAUUAGAAAGUUCUUCCCUCUAAAUUGAUCCAGAAUAUGUGCUCUCCCAAAUAAACCUCAUAAUUUUUAUUCAGGCUAAUUCUGAUCUUUGGAGCAAAAGAGAAAAAAAUCUAAUUUAUUCAUCUCAUAUUUAAGAUUGUUAAUUUCCAAAUUCAUUAAUAAAUUCUCACUGAAUGCUUAUUGUAUCAUCUUUUAUCUUCUUACAGUAAAUGAAAAUACAUCUACAUGUUUUUCACCAGGGAUUCUUGGCCUGAACAAACUUAGUAUAAAUUGGUCCAUCCAGAACUUUCUUUUUCAUUAUUGUGCAUGCAUGCAGAGUUUUUGUUUGAAAUUAAACAGUAACUAGGCUGGCAGAUAUGGUUUGCAGGGCUGUAUCUCCACAGGCUGAGAAACUGAAGCUUUCUUUCCUUCAGGGUAGACAGCCCAAGCCCUUUGUGUUCUUAAGUUUAAAGUGCAGUUUUGAAAACUGCAGUGUUCAGAAAUUAGUUGGGAAGCUUUGUUGUUUCUGAUGGAUGCUGUUGUCCAGGAGGGGGGAAUUCCCUCUCUAUCCUUGAGUUCCUGUGGCUGAACUGAUAAUAAAAUUGGCACACGAUCAGAUUAACAGGAGAAAAAGCAAGUUAAUAUGUGUGCAUAUAGAUAAUCAGUGACGCUCUGAGAAAUGAUGACCACCCAGCUUUUUAUACUUUUUUUAGACAAAAACAAUGUAUUGGUGAAGAAUUGACAAGAUAAAUACACUUAGGUGUGGGUGUUCAUUAGUGAGGGAUCUAAACACUGUUUGGGCUUGGGUAACAAGGUUUGUUUCUGUAAGCUUUUUGGCCCUGGAUUCCUUAACGCUAGUGAUAAGGGUGUUUCCCUCAGCUCCCCUGUAGCAAGGAGGCACCUUUAACUGCAGAGACUUAUUUCCUGCAGUCAAGGCAACAAGCAAGGGUCAAUGGGCCUUUCUUGCACCAACUGCUUGUCAAGUAAUUUUAAUUCAAAGUUAUCAAAACGCCACUGUGGAAUAUUUUGGGGUGGCCUGCCCUGGGCCCCAACAAAUCUGUAGGCUUUAAGGUCAAGGCUGUAUUAGUCAGUUUCCUAUUGAAAAGACACUUAUUUUUAAAGUGAAUGGUAAAAAAAAAUAAAAUAAAAAAUAAAUUGAAUGGUAAUCAGUGAUUACAUAUCAGAACAAUUUGCCUCGGAGCUGUGAAGACAGAGCUUGUUUCACUUCUCACAUGCCUUACACAUAGAAGAAGAAUACAGGAAAUGUUCCUUUUAGUUCUUUGAUUAUCUAGCUGGUAUCUUUAUGAAACUGAGGAUCCCAAGUUUGAAAAAGCACAAAAAUCUAAUUAAAAAUAAGAAACUUAAAAGGACUCUAUCAUGAAGUAGUUUGAUUAGUUGUACACUUGGAAGUGACUCUGUGUUGUGCUGUAUAAAAGCUGUUUGCAGACCAGAGUUCUAAACUAAAUAUGAGCAGCGCAGAAUCUAGCCAUGUGCUUCCGGAGUCAUUUGAUGGAGCCUUUAUUUCUACAACAUAAUAAUUUAAAGCUUUUGACUUUUAGAUCCAAAAGGAAAUUCUGGCACUUGAAUACUGUCUGGGAACAACUUGUCAUGCCUGCUUUGUGGAAUUGAUGUUCAAAAUGAAAUGCAAAAAAUGCAGACUGUCACAGCACAUACCCGGAAUUGGUACUCCAGGGAGAACAGGAUAUGUAAAUAGAGGAUAUCUUUGGUCUGACUGUUGAUCACAUGGCUGAGGUAGUAUUUGUGAGGUUUCUCCACUGUAAAGUCCCUCUUCCCCCUCCCAUCCUGCAGUCUUUGGAAGGAAGGCUCUACGCACAACCCACACUUAAGUUGUGCUGCUUUCUGCCUGAUGCCAGCGGAUCUGUUGCAAAUUCAUUAGAUCCAUUUCAAAUUCUAGUGAAGAAGAAGUGACCUUGAAAGGAUCAGUAUUUUAAAUAAUUUUGAAAGAGGGUGGUGACAGAAAUCGACAUUAUCAAGAGGGAAUUCAGAAUUGGCAGGUGGAGGAACAUUUGGGAGGAAAACUGUGGCCGUUAGCAUUGAAGAAGACAAGAGGAUUCUUCAGGACACUGAGACUUCCCACCACACUGUAGUGGAGGACUUUUUUUUCAAUUGAAUUUAUUGGAGUGACACUGGUUAAUAAAAUUACACAGGUUUCAAGUGUA
Miniopterus natalensis is the source of this 4230-nucleotide non-coding RNA. Lineage: Eukaryota; Metazoa; Chordata; Mammalia; Chiroptera; Miniopteridae. The record is from RefSeq and is a predicted model, not a curated record.